This 700-nucleotide ribosomal RNA is filed under the name uncultured Rhizobiaceae bacterium. Its description in RNAcentral is "bacterial SSU rRNA". It matches the Rfam family "Bacterial small subunit ribosomal RNA", at positions 8 to 756 of the family's 1533-position model. The record is from RNAcentral. Lineage: Bacteria; Pseudomonadati; Pseudomonadota; Alphaproteobacteria; Hyphomicrobiales; Rhizobiaceae.
AGAGUUUGAUCCUGGCUCAGAACGAACGCUGGCGGCAGGCUUAACACAUGCAAGUCGAACGCCCCGCAAGGGGAGUGGCAGACGGGUGAGUAACGCGUGGGAACGUACCCUUUCCUGCGGAAUAGCUCCGGGAAACUGGAAUUAAUACCGCAUACGCCCUACGGGGGAAAGAUUUAUCGGGGAAGGAUUGGCCCGCGUUGGAUUAGCUAGUUGGUGGGGUAAAGGCCUACCAAGGCGACGAUCCAUAGCUGGUCUGAGAGGAUGAUCAGCCACAUUGGGACUGAGACACGGCCCAAACUCCUACGGGAGGCAGCAGUGGGGAAUAUUGGACAAUGGGCGCAAGCCUGAUCCAGCCAUGCCGCGUGAGUGAUGAAGGCCUUAGGGUUGUAAAGCUCUUUCACCGGAGAAGAUAAUGACGGUAUCCGGAGAAGAAGCCCCGGCUAACUUCGUGCCAGCAGCCGCGGUAAUACGAAGGGGGCUAGCGUUGUUCGGAAUUACUGGGCGUAAAGCGCACGUAGGCGGAUAUUUAAGUCAGGGGUGAAAUCCCAGAGCUCAACUCUGGAACUGCCUUUGAUACUGGGUAUCUUGAGUAUGGAAGAGGUAAGUGGAAUUCCGAGUGUAGAGGUGAAAUUCGUAGAUAUUCGGAGGAACACCAGUGGCGAAGGCGGCCUACUGGUCCAUUACUGGCGCUGAGGUGCGA